UAUGGCCCUAUCACAGAGAAACACCGGUUCUUGUUCAAUCACUGGAGUUAAGCAACAUCGAGCCUGGUCAGUACCUAGAUGAGUGAUCACUUGGGAAUACCUGAUGCUGU
Molecule: non-coding RNA, 110 nt
Organism: Acanthosepion pharaonis
Lineage: Eukaryota; Metazoa; Mollusca; Cephalopoda; Sepiida; Sepiidae
Source: the annotation of a GenBank genome assembly